CAGCAGCCACGGUAAUGCGAAGGGUGCAAGCGUUAAUCGGAAUUACUGGGCGUAAAGCGUGCGUAGGCGGUGAGUUAAGUCUGCUGUGAAAUCCCCGGGCUCAACCUGGGAAUGGCAGUGGAUACUGGCUCGCUAGAGUGUGUCAGAGGAUGGUGGAAUUCCCGGUGUAGCGGUGAAAUGCGUAGAGAUCUGGAGGAAUACCGGUGGCGAAGGCGGCCAUCUGGGACAACACUGACGCUGAGGCACGAAAGCGUGGGGAGCAAACAGGAUUAGAUACCCCAGUAGUCCCUGUCUCUUAUAC
RNAcentral lists this ribosomal RNA (301 nucleotides) under uncultured bacterium. RNAcentral describes it as "partial 16S ribosomal RNA". It matches the Rfam family "Bacterial small subunit ribosomal RNA", at positions 509 to 807 of the family's 1533-position model. The record is from RNAcentral.